AAUAAGCGCAACCAUGAGUUUUGUGUCUAACUUUGAUCGUCCGUUUUAUUUUAAAUUUUUUAUGAUUAAUAUUUUUAUUGUUAUUAGAUUAUAAAACACAAAUAGUACUUUAUGUGUGACUUAUGUUCUUUAGUUUUUUCAAAAAAAAUUAAAUAAAACGGAUGAUUAAAGUUGGACACGGAAAUUCAUGGCUAUGCUUAUU
Molecule: microRNA precursor, 202 nt
Organism: Oryza sativa Japonica Group (Japanese rice)
Lineage: Eukaryota; Viridiplantae; Streptophyta; Magnoliopsida; Poales; Poaceae
Rfam family: MIR812 microRNA precursor family
Source: Rfam